This is a long non-coding RNA of Cyprinus carpio (common carp), 584 nucleotides long. RefSeq lists it as uncharacterized. NCBI's taxonomy places the organism in Eukaryota, Metazoa, Chordata, Actinopteri, Cypriniformes, Cyprinidae. The transcript is spliced from 3 exons. The record is from RefSeq and is a predicted model, not a curated record.
GAGUUCACACUUACACGUGAUCAGAAAGAGUAAAGGUUAAUUGGCGUGUUUAAACAUAUUCGAGUUCGUUUAGUGUUCUAGUCUCGUAACUAAUGAAUCACUUCAUUCGGUCUCGGUGUGAAUGGGUCUAGAUAAUGCUCAUUAACGAAAAUGCUUCACAGCAGCACGUGACAGCACAAGGGCUGCAGACACACUCGCCGGUUACCGUCAGCAGCGCGUGACCGGUGACAGCAGCAGCGGGACGCGCGUGCGCGUGCGGGAAUAUUCGGUCCCGUUAUCUCACCCUCAGCGAACCGAACACACGCAAGCUCGAGAACACACCCGGUCAGAGCGGCGGGAACGGAUCGAUCCACGCGCGAUGAGCGGCGGCGUGUACGGCGGAGAUGAAGUGGGCGCUCUGGUGUUUGACAUCGGCUCCUUCUCCACUAGAGCAGGAUACGCAGGAGAGGACUGUCCGAAGGCAGAUUUCCCCACCACCAUAGGAGUGAAUGCUGAGAGGAGGGGCCAGCUGACAUGGGGGCGGAGCAAGAGAUCAACAGUGGGAGGAGUUUAUUACACUAGAUAACCACAGCCCUGCAUGUGCC